GUCGGGAUAGCUCAUUUGGUAAAA
This 24-nucleotide transfer RNA is filed under the name Chlorophytum andongense. Its description in RNAcentral is "partial tRNA-Phe". The record is from RNAcentral. Lineage: Eukaryota; Viridiplantae; Streptophyta; Magnoliopsida; Asparagales; Asparagaceae.